This 305-nucleotide ribosomal RNA is filed under the name uncultured bacterium. Its description in RNAcentral is "bacterial SSU rRNA". It matches the Rfam family "Bacterial small subunit ribosomal RNA", at positions 338 to 644 of the family's 1533-position model. The record is from RNAcentral.
CUUACGGGGCGCAGCAGUGGGGAAUAUUGCACAAUGGGGGGAACCCUGAUGCAGCGACGCCGCGUGGGUGAAGGAGCACCUCGGUGCGUAAAGCCCUAUCGGCAGGGAAGAAAAGCGAACAGGUUCGCCUGGACGGUACCUGACUAAGAAGCCCCGGCUAACUACGCGCCAGCAGCCGCGGGAAUACGUAGGGGGCAAGCGUUAUCCGGAUUUACUGGGUGUAAAGGGAGCGUAGGCGGCGAUGCAAGUCAGAAGUGAAAGCCCGGGGCUCAACUCCGGGGCUGCUUUUGAAACUGUGUUGCUAG